GACGAACGCUGGCGGCGUGCUUAACACAUGCAAGUCACGGGGGUCGCAAGACCAACCGGCGAACGGGUGCGUAACACGUGAGCAACCUGCCUUUGUGUGGGGGAGUAGCCGGCCCAACGGCCGGGUAAUACCGCAUACGAUUCGUGGAAGGAGUCUUCUGCGAAGGAAACCUCCGGGGCACAGAGAGGGGCUCGCGGCCUAUCAGCUAGUUGGCGAGGUAACGGCUCACCAAGGCGACGACGGGAGCUGGUCUGAGAGGAUGGCCAGCCACAUUGGGACUGAGAGACGGCCCAGACUCCUACGGGAGGCAGCAGUGGGGAA
Molecule: ribosomal RNA, 321 nt
Filed under: uncultured bacterium
Lineage: Bacteria
Description: bacterial SSU rRNA
Rfam family: Bacterial small subunit ribosomal RNA
Source: RNAcentral